Molecule: transfer RNA, 72 nt
Filed under: Ovis aries (sheep)
Lineage: Eukaryota; Metazoa; Chordata; Mammalia; Artiodactyla; Bovidae
Rfam family: tRNA
About the family: Transfer RNA (tRNA) molecules are approximately 80 nucleotides in length. Their secondary structure includes four short double-helical elements and three loops (D, anti-codon, and T loops).
Source: Rfam by way of RNAcentral
UCCCUGUUGGCUCAAAUGGUAGAGCGUCUGCCUGCAAUGCAGAAGACCCAGGUUCGACCCCUGGGUCAGGAA